GUAGGGUGCRAGCGUUAAUCGGAAUUACUGGGCGUAAAGCGUGCGCAGGCGGUUCGUUAAGACAGAUGUGAAAUCCCCGGGCUUAACCUGGGAACUGCAUUUGUGACUGGCGAGCUAGAGUAUGGCAGAGGGGGGUAGAAUUCCACGUGUAGCAGUGAAAUGCGUAGAGAUGUGGAGGAAUACCGAUGGCGAAGGCAGCCCCCUGGGCCAAUACUGACGCUCAUGCACGAAAGCGUGGGGAGCAAACAGGAUUAGAUACCCUGGUAGUCCACGCCCUAAACGAUGUCAACUAGUUGUUGGGUCUUCAUUGACUUAGUAACGUAGCUAACGCGUGAAGUUGACCGCCUGGGGAGUACGGUCGC
RNAcentral lists this ribosomal RNA (362 nucleotides) under uncultured Burkholderia sp. Its description in RNAcentral is "bacterial SSU rRNA". It matches the Rfam family "Bacterial small subunit ribosomal RNA", at positions 527 to 889 of the family's 1533-position model. The record is from RNAcentral. Lineage: Bacteria; Pseudomonadati; Pseudomonadota; Betaproteobacteria; Burkholderiales; Burkholderiaceae.